UGAGCAAUCUGCCCUUCUCUUUGGAAUAAGCGUGGGAAACCGCGUCUAAUGCCGAAUACGACCUCCUUUCGCAUGAUCGGAGGUGGAAAGCUCCGGCGGAGAAGGAUGAGCUCGCGGCCUAUCAGCUUGUUGGUGAGGUAAUGGCUCACCAAGGCAUUGACGGGUAGCCGGCCUGAGAGGGUGACCGGCCACACUGGGACUGAGACACGGCCCAGACUCCUAGGAGG
This 227-nucleotide ribosomal RNA is filed under the name uncultured bacterium. RNAcentral's name for it is "partial 16S ribosomal RNA". It matches the Rfam family "Bacterial small subunit ribosomal RNA", at positions 118 to 348 of the family's 1533-position model. The record is from RNAcentral.